UCAAGUACGCUGGUUCCAAGACAGGGAGACAUUACAGUAAAUACGUGUUCUUCGGAAUAUGCAUUUUCAAACCCCUCUGUGUACCUUACCUGUUGCUUCCGUGCUGCGCGGAUUUCGGUCCCCUCCCUCGCGGGAGUGCCGGCACGGCUAACGAAAUUCUUGCAUUUCAUGUCAUCUGUCUGAACUGAUAAAUACAAAAAGUUAAAACUUUCAACAACGGAUCUCUUGGUUCUCGCAUCGAUGAAGAACGCAGCGAAAUGCGAUAAGUAGUGUGAAUUGCAGAAUUCAGUGAAUCAUCGAAUCUUUGAACGCACAUUGCGCCUCCUGGUAUUCCGGGAGGCAUGCCUGUUCGAGCGUCAUUAAAAUCAACUCGAGCCCUUUUGCUCGGUCAUGGAAGAAGAGUCUGCCUGGCAGUCUCCCCUCCGAAAUUCAAUGGCGGAAGGUCCCUGGUACCCGGCGUAGUAAAACAACGUUCGCUUUGUAACCAGAGAUGUUCCCGCCCUACAAACCCCCCUUUCUCGUGAUUGACCUCGGAUCAGGUAGGGAUACCCGCUGAACUUAAGCAUAUCAAUAAGUCGGAGGCAA
This 585-nucleotide ribosomal RNA is filed under the name Pezizomycetes sp. MJ34. RNAcentral describes it as "eukaryotic LSU rRNA". The stretch from base 206 to 359 matches the Rfam family "5.8S ribosomal RNA". The record is from RNAcentral. Lineage: Eukaryota; Fungi; Ascomycota; Pezizomycetes.